GCUAAACUGAGCAGCAGUAAAACAGUUUCCUGUGUGGCUACAUCCAGAGCACUCUUAUUCUUGAAUUCUGCUCUCACCUGUCAGAGUCUCUCAUAUGACAGGCAAAGGCAUUAUUAGCCUGUGUAUUUCUUUUCUUGGCUUACUUUCUGGGCUCUUGAUGAUCAAAAUUCUUAAAUUCAAACUGCUGUGAUAAAAGAUAAGAUUGCUUCUUCCGAGGAUAUAGACACACACUCUGCAAAAGUUCAGACGCUGUCUUCUAAAAAUCAGUAAUGAGUGAAGAAGUUGUAACUUACUCCAAUUUGCCAUUUCAACCAUCAUCUCAGCCACAGAGGGGACAAAGACUUGAAACUACCAAGAGAAAAGAUCACCCUACUCCACUUUCUUCACGGAAAUAUGUUGCUGUGUUUCUGUGGAUCAUUUGCCUGGGGCUUCUUCUGUCUGUUGGAUACUUGGUCAUUGAGUUGAAUAAAAAGCCAUUUCAACCAGAAGGAUGUCCAAGAAAUAGCUCCUCCAAUACGGAAGCAAAUAAAACAGUUUGGAAAUACCCUACUUGUUCAAACAACUGGCAUCAGUAUGGAGAAAACUGCUACUAUUUUUCAAGAAACAGUGUUCCUUGGAAGGAAUGUCACCAUUAUUGCACCAAUUUACAUUCUGAAUUUCUUAAGUCAAAUACUGAAGAAGAGAUGAAUUUUAUAAUAAAAUUGUCAAAAAUGCAAUGCGGUUUGCAAAAAGAAAAGUUUUCAAUUAGUUUAUACUACAGCAAUAAACAACUGAACUGGGUUUGGCUAGAUGAUACAAAACUUACCCUGGACAAGCUUCAACUUCCAGGACAUGAGAAUGCUAAUAAUAAAUGUGCACACAUAAAAUACGGCCAAAUAAUUGCUGAAGAUUGCCAUAGUAGUGGUUAUUGUAUCUGUAAGAAGACAAUAUAUUAGAUUAGAUAAAAUGCCUGAGAUUUUCCAGUGAGAUGAAAACUCACUAUUAAACUAUGUAAAAACGUGUUUAGCUAAAAAUAGAUGUCAUUAAACAUUGAAGUCUAUAUGUUAUUCUUUAACUUUAAUCCAUAAUUUGUAGCAGGAUUGAUACAAUAAACAGUAUUUUAGUGACA
This 1108-nucleotide long non-coding RNA is filed under the name Bos mutus (wild yak). RNAcentral's name for it is "lncRNA (ENSBMUG00000010430.1)". Lineage: Eukaryota; Metazoa; Chordata; Mammalia; Artiodactyla; Bovidae. The record is from RNAcentral.